This 274-nucleotide ribosomal RNA is filed under the name uncultured bacterium. Its description in RNAcentral is "partial 16S ribosomal RNA". It matches the Rfam family "Bacterial small subunit ribosomal RNA", at positions 523 to 796 of the family's 1533-position model. The record is from RNAcentral.
AUACGGAGGGUGCAAGCGUUACUCGGAAUCACUGGGCGUAAAGCGCGCGCAGGCGGUCUUUUAAGUUGGAUGUGAAAGCCUACGGCUCAACCGUAGAACUGCAUCCAAAACUAUUAGACUAGAGUGUGGGAGAGGAAGAUGGAAUUAGUUGUGUAGGGGUAAAAUCCGUAGAGAUAACUAGGAAUACCAAAAGCGAAGGCAAUCUUCUGAAACACUACUGACGCUGAGGCGCGAAAGCGUGGGGAGCAAACAGGAUUAGAAACCCUAGUAGUCC